GGGUUGUGAGGUUAAGCGACUAAGCGUACACGGUGGAUGCCCUGGCAGUCAGAGGCGAUGAAGGACGUGCUAAUCUGCGAAAAGCGUCGGUAAGGUGAUAUGAACCGUUACAGCCGGCGAUGUCCGAAUGGGGAAACCCAGUGCAAUUCGUUGCACUAUCGUUAACUGAAUACAUAGGUUAACGAGGCGAACCGGGGGAACUGAAACAUCUAAGUACCCCGAGGAAAAGAAAUCAACCGAGAUUCCCCCAGUAGCGGCGAGCGAACGGGGAGCAGCCCAGAGUCUGAAUCAGCUUGUGUGUUAGUGGAACGGUCUGGAAAGUCCGACGGUACAGGGUGAUAGUCCCGUACACCAAAAUGCACAGGCUGUGAACUCGAAGAGUAGGGCGGGACACGUGGUAUCCUGUCUGAAUAUGGGGGGACCAUCCUCCAAGGCUAAAUACUCCUGACUGACCGAUAGUGAACCAGUACCGUGAGGGAAAGGCGAAAAGAACCCCGGCGAGGGGAGUGAAAAAGAACCUGAAACCGUGUACGUACAAGCAGUGGGAGCACCUUAGGGUGUGACUGCGUACCUUUUGUAUAAUGGGUCAGCGACUUAUAUUCUGUAGCAAGGUUAACCGUAUAGGGGAGCCGCAGGGAAACCGAGUCUUAACUGGGCGUUAAGUUGCAGGGUAUAGACCCGAAACCCGGUGAUCUAGCCAUGGGCAGGUUGAAGGUUGGGUAACACUAACUGGAGGACCGAACCGACUAAUGUUGAAAAAUUAGCGGAUGACUUGUGGCUGGGGGUGAAAGGCCAAUCAAACCGGGAGAUAGCUGGUUCUCCCCGAAAGCUAUUUAGGUAGCGCCUCGUGAACUCAUCUUCGGGGGUAGAGCACUGUUUCGGCUAGGGGGUCAUCCCGACUUACCAACCCGAUGCAAACUACGAAUACCGAAGAAUGUUAUCACGGGAGACACACGGCGGGUGCUAACGUCCGUCGUGAAGAGGGAAACAACCCAGACCGCCAGCUAAGGUCCCAAAGUCACAGUUAAGUGGGAAACGAUGUGGGAAGGCACAGACAGCCAGGAUGUUGGCUUAGAAGCAGCCAUCAUUUAAAGAAAGCGUAAUAGCUCACUGGUCGAGUCGGCCUGCGCGGAAGAUGUAACGGGGCUAAACUGUGCACCGAAGCUGCGGCAGCGACACUAUGUGUUGUUGGGUAGGGGAGCGUUCUGUAAGCCUGCGAAGGUGGCCUGUGAGGGUUGCUGGAGGUAUCAGAAGUGCGAAUGCUGACAUAAGUAACGAUAAUGCGGGUGAAAAGCCCGCACGCCGGAAGACCAAGGGUUCCUGUCCAACGUUAAUCGGGGCAGGGUGAGUCGACCCCUAAGGCGAGGCCGAAAGGCGUAGUCGAUGGGAAACAGGUUAAUAUUCCUGUACUUGGUGUUACUGCGAAGGGGGGACGGAGAAGGCUAUGUUAGCCGGGCGACGGUUGUCCCGGUUUAAGCAUGUAGGCGGAGGUUCCAGGUAAAUCCGGUACCUUUUUAACGCUGAGGUGUGAUGACGAGGCACUACGGUGCUGAAGUAACAAAUGCCCUGCUUCCAGGAAAAGCCUCUAAGCAUCAGGUAACAUUAAAUCGUACCCCAAACCGACACAGGUGGUCAGGUAGAGAAUACCAAGGCGCUUGAGAGAACUCGGGUGAAGGAACUAGGCAAAAUGGUGCCGUAACUUCGGGAGAAGGCACGCUGAUAUGUAGGUGAAGCCCCUGCGGGUGGAGCUGAAAUCAGUCGAAGAUACCAGCUGGCUGCAACUGUUUAUUAAAAACACAGCACUGUGCAAACACGAAAGUGGACGUAUACGGUGUGACGCCUGCCCGGUGCCGGAAGGUUAAUUGAUGGGGUUAUCCGUAAGGAGAAGCUCUUGAUCGAAGCCCCGGUAAACGGCGGCCGUAACUAUAACGGUCCUAAGGUAGCGAAAUUCCUUGUCGGGUAAGUUCCGACCUGCACGAAUGGCGUAAUGAUGGCCAGGCUGUCUCCACCCGAGACUCAGUGAAAUUGAACUCGCUGUGAAGAUGCAGUGUACCCGCGGCAAGACGGAAAGACCCCGUGAACCUUUACUAUAGCUUGACACUGAACAUUGAGCCUUGAUGUGUAGGAUAGGUGGGAGGCUUUGAAGCGUGGACGCCAGUCUGCGUGGAGCCAACCUUGAAAUACCACCCUUUAAUGUUUGAUGUUCUAACGUUGGCCCCUGACCGGGGUUGCGGACAGUGUCUGGUGGGUAGUUUGACUGGGGCGGUCUCCUCCCAAAGAGUAACGGAGGAGCACGAAGGUUAGCUAAUCCUGGUCGGACAUCAGGAGGUUAGUGCAAUGGCAUAAGCUAGCUUGACUGCGAGCGUGACGGCGCGAGCAGGUGCGAAAGCAGGUCAUAGUGAUCCGGUGGUUCUGAAUGGAAGGGCCAUCGCUCAACGGAUAAAAGGUACUCCGGGGAUAACAGGCUGAUACCGCCCAAGAGUUCAUAUCGACGGCGGUGUUUGGCACCUCGAUGUCGGCUCAUCACAUCCUGGGGCUGAAGUAGGUCCCAAGGGUAUGGCUGUUCGCCAUUUAAAGUGGUACGCGAGCUGGGUUUAGAACGUCGUGAGACAGUUCGGUCCCUAUCUGCCGUGGGCGCUGGAGAAUUGAGGGGGGCUGCUCCUAGUACGAGAGGACCGGAGUGGACGCAUCACUGGUGUUCGGGUUGUCAUGCCAAUGGCAUUGCCCGGUAGCUAAAUGCGGAAGAGAUAAGUGCUGAAAGCAUCUAAGCACGAAACUUGCCCCGAGAUGAGUUCUCCCUGAGACUUUAAGUCUCCUGAAGGAACGUUAAAGACGAUGACGUUGAUAGGUCGGGUGUGUAAGCGUAGCGAUACGUUGAGCUAACCGAUACUAAUGAACCGUGAGGCUUAACCUUACAACGCCGAAGCUGUU
Molecule: ribosomal RNA, 2931 nt
Filed under: Klebsiella aerogenes
Lineage: Bacteria; Pseudomonadati; Pseudomonadota; Gammaproteobacteria; Enterobacterales; Enterobacteriaceae
Description: bacterial LSU rRNA
Rfam family: Bacterial large subunit ribosomal RNA
Source: RNAcentral